This 392-nucleotide ribosomal RNA is filed under the name uncultured bacterium. RNAcentral describes it as "partial 16S ribosomal RNA". It matches the Rfam family "Bacterial small subunit ribosomal RNA", at positions 523 to 918 of the family's 1533-position model. The record is from RNAcentral.
AUACGGAGGAUCCGAGCGUUAUCCGGAUUUAUUGGGUUUAAAGGGUGCGCAGGCGGCCAUUUAAGUCAGCGGUUAAAUCGUGGGGCUCAACCCCAUUCUGCCGUUGAUACUGGGUGGCUUGAUUGCGGUCGAGGUUGGCGGAAUUCGUUGUGUAGCGGUGAAAUGCAUAGAUAUGACGAAGAACACCGAUUGCGUAGGCAGCUGACCAGACCGCAAAUGACGCUCAUGCACGAAAGGGCGGGGAUCGAACAGGAUUAGAUACCCUGGUAGUCCGCACAGUAAACGAUGAAUACUUGUUUUCGGCGAUAUAAUGUCGGAGGCAAAGCGAAAGCGAUAAGUAUUCCACCUGGGGAGUACGCCGGCAACGGUGAAACUCAAAGGAAUUGACGGGG